CGGGCCGUAGCUUAACUGGAUAGAGCAUCGGUCUACUAAACUGCAAGAUGCUGGUUCGAGUCCAGCCGGCCCGGCCA
This 77-nucleotide transfer RNA is filed under the name Sandaracinobacter neustonicus. Its description in RNAcentral is "Sandaracinobacter sp. PAMC 28131 tRNA-Ser". It matches the Rfam family "tRNA". From Rfam's summary of the family: Transfer RNA (tRNA) molecules are approximately 80 nucleotides in length. Their secondary structure includes four short double-helical elements and three loops (D, anti-codon, and T loops). Lineage: Bacteria; Pseudomonadati; Pseudomonadota; Alphaproteobacteria; Sphingomonadales; Sphingosinicellaceae. The record is from RNAcentral.